Molecule: unclassified non-coding RNA, 329 nt
Filed under: soil metagenome
Description: partial contains 5.8S ribosomal RNA, internal transcribed spacer 2, and large subunit ribosomal RNA
Rfam family: 5.8S ribosomal RNA (bases 1-120)
Source: RNAcentral
GAUGAAGAACGUAGUGAAAUGCGAUAAGUAGUGUGAAUUGCAGAAUUCAGUGAAUCAUCGAAUCUUUGAACGCACAUUGCGCCCCUUGGUAUCCCGAGGGGCAUGCCUGUUCGAGCGUCAUUUCACCACUCAAGCCUGGCUUGGUGUUGGGCGACGUCCUCUUUGGGGACGCGCCUCGAAACGCUCGGCGGCGUGGCACCGGCUUUAAGCGUAGCAGAAUCUUUCGCUUUGGAAGUCGGGGCCCCGUCUGCCGGAAGACCUGCUCGCAAGGUUGACCUCGGAUCAGGCAGGGAUACCCGCUGAACUUAAGCAUAUCAACAAGCGGAGGA